CCCAGUUUCGCAGCCUGUAUCUGAGUACAAACAUCAGGGAUUCAGACAUUCCAAGCUGAUCUUCUACCUUGCAGGCUUCAAAUCCAUCUUAUCUUAAAAGAAUGCAUCCCCUUUUAUCUACUUUUUUUUAAAAAAAGGUCAAUUUUAAAGGCAGCUGAGGGAGGGGUUGUGUAAUUUGCUGGAAGAAGUUUGUUAAAGGAUUAUAAAUAGGACAAGAUUUAUCCUCUCUCUGAAAUUCAGAAUCCUUGCAAGUACCCUGGCUGAGAACUUAAAGGAAAUCGUCUGAAAGUCGAACAUUUGUCUUCAUCACGGUUUUCCAAACGAAGGGAAAAACUCAGCCAAAACGCAUCAACUUUCAGAGACCAAGAGAAGCUGAUGAACGUGACCCGGAUGUUCCCGUGGACUUGCGCCCAUGGCCGCCUGCACAGCCAGCAGAAAUAGGGGGAGCGGAAGGCCCCACCCCACAGGCCAGAGAAGGGCCCUGGGCCGAGAGAAGACAAGAGCUGCCCAGAAGGUAAGUGUCUUCUCCAACUCCACUGUGUGAGCUGGGCUGUUCUUUUAGGGGCUACUGACUUUGAGAAACAGGAAUGAACUGCAACCCAGGUGUCUAAAAAGACCCCACAUAGCACCUGAGCCGUGUGAAGUGUUAAACACAGCGUAUUUGAAUUUGUCUGCCGCAAUCAUUCUGUUUCUUCAGAGAGCCUGAGAAAACCAGAGACUUUCCUGGAGGUUAUUCUCACCCCUGUGCAGGGAAAGGACGAGGCUGGGGAGGAGUCGAGGGCCCAGAGGUGGCGUGGGCUUUUAUUUCUGCCCUUGGAGCAGCAGUGUAUGAAGCCAUUCCCCGUUUUGGGAUGGUUUGUUUUAACAGUAACACCAAGGCCUUCAAAUAAGAUCCCACCAGUAGAAUAACUGGAAUUAGCAGGUUUAUUUAACCAGGAAUUCCCCCCUCGUCCCACUGCUUCAAGGCAAGCACGCCCACAAGGCUCGCCGUGUCUUCUACUUCUAAAAUGCCAGCGUCAGAGUUUUUCCUCUGUCCAACUCGUAUUGUUCCCUCGGCAGCACUGAAAAUAGCUGGACACCUGCACAGAAAUGAAACUGAUUCCUGGGAAUCCCCAGGCCUCAGCAAUUCUCUUUAAAAAGAGUCUGUUGAGACUCUGACUUGGCUGAGAAUUUGCCCAAUGAUCCCUUCUUCACCCCGGUUGGGGAUAAACGUGGAUAAUAAAUGGAUGCAUAAGGAGCUUUCCAGAUUUUCCCUUCUAGUUGGAUUUAAAUGAGAAAUAAAAAAAACUCUUCUUUGCUCCCUAUUGACAAGAGCAUUCUAUUUUAAAAUUUCCAUGUGCUUUCAAAAUGACAAGACUCAGGCAUAUGACACUGACUUGUCUUCAUCUACACUAUAACAGCCUAAAAGAAUCCAGUGGAUGCAUUUAACACAUCUGUUUGAAAUGGCAGUAAAUGUGGAUUUGGAAUUAAGAAAAAGCAUUUCCAUUUAUCUUUUGCUUUUUAAGAAAUCUUUUUUUCUUUGGUGCUGUUAGGUUAGGUUUGCAGCAAGGUAACUUCACAGUCCCCAGUGCACUCUGUCCGCAGGCCUCUGGGGUUGGCUCUAGAAUGUUCUCAGCCCCUGGGAAACAAAAUAUUAAAGCAUAGACAAGCUGCUGGUGGCCAGACCUGACCUGAGGAAGAAGAGGGAGUUUUGUGAUAUUCUUGGUACUUAUGAAUCUAAGACGUCUUGCAAGGAGCUGUGACGCACAGAGAUUAGUUGCAGGUUGAUGAAUUCACUAGAUGGUUAGGCUUUGUAAAAGCUUUCUCUUUAAUGAACUCCCCCUCCCUGCCCACCCCCCUUUUAUGAAAAGAAACCCAUGACAUAAGAGAGGAGCAAACCCAGUCCAGACUGUUUUUCCUACUCACGGGCUCAACGGGGAAACUGCAUUCUGAAUUGACCGCAGCAACUAGAAAUGUCUAGAGCUUCAGUCCAGGUUGGGAAGGUGCGGGGAGACUGGGACACUGCACAGAAAUUUAGUUUUAAUAGACAGCCGUUUAGGAAUGGGAACACUUGACCUCUCUCAAGAAAUCUCGGGAUGUAAGGCACAAAGAGAGGCGGAGGGAGAUUUAUGUGAAUGAGAUCAGAGGAGAGAAGCUAACAGGAUCCCUCAGGCCUUUUCUAAGCUGUAGAAAACUGCUUGUAUUUGAAGGCAUCCUCCUGAUUAAUAUCCAACAUCUUUGCCGUAAGCGUUCGCUUUUUCAGAGGAAAUAACAGGUGUAAUUAUUUCCCAUCCAGCUUGUAAACUUUCUGUUUUUUAUUAACCAGUACUAUUUAAGUUCAGUUGUUAAAUCUGAAAAUACCAGGACAAAAGAUGGUUUAAAUUUGCAGAAUAAGAAAUGACUAUGUGAAUUAAAAAGAAAUAUCCAAGUCAUCCUGGCAUUAACCACUUUUAAUUUUUUUAUUAGCAACAUAUUAUUGGAUGGCAUUUGAAAAGAAUGAAGACAUUCUGCUUGCUUGUUUAAACUGCUUUACAGAUUGACAGAGUUUAACCACUUCUGCAGAAACAAUCAAAGUAAUAAAAGAUGAUGGCUGUUAUAGCUAUGUUUAAAAAUUGUUCAAGAGGCUGACAACAUGAGGCAUUCAAUAAAUGUGUUUAUUGAUUGAUGCAAUAAUACCAUAAAAUUAUUGUACUGUGUAACAAAGUAUUUCACUAAUAAUUUGCUAGGAAAUUAGCCUGAGGCCCAUCUCUCAGCACAGCACUAACUUUUCAAGCUUGUUGACAAGUAGUGUGGAAAUAGGCUAAGUUCUAACCUCCCAAUUUCAGAAGAGGGAAUUUUUUUUUUUUUUUAGAUUUUUUACAUUUUUUUCCUUUUUCUCCCCAAAGCCCCCCAGUACAUAGUUGUAUAUUCUUCGUUGUGGGUCCUUCUAGUUGUGGCAUGUGGGAUGCUGCCUCAGUUUGAUGAGCAGUGCCAUGUCCGCGCCCAGGGUUCGAACCAACGAAACACUGGGCCGCCUGCAGCGGAGCGCGCGAACUUAACCACUCGGCCACGGGGCCAGCCCCAGAAGAGGGAAUUUUUAUUAGGGAAUCCACACACCCAAAAAACUGCUUAAAAACUGUUUAAAUUCUAAUUUUUUUCUCAUUACAAAAAUACUAUGCUAAUUGUAGAAAAUAAUACAUGCAGAGAAGGAAAAGGAGAAAACAAUGAAACCAUAAUUCCACCAGGCACAGAUAAGCAUGGUUAACAUCUGAUGUUUUUGCUCCAGGCAUACGUGUAUUUUCACGGAAAAGGGGCUCAUACUGUAUAUACUGUUUUGUAAACUACGUCUUCAUUUAAUAACACAUUUGACUCUCUUUCCAAGUCAAGAGUCAUUUUUCUACAUCAACUUUAAUGACUAAGGUGUGUCAUAAAUACAUUACCCUCCUGUAAUUGGACAAUUAGGCUGUUUGUGAUUUUUACUGUAUAAACAACGUCAUUGUGAACAACCUUCUAGGUAUAUUCUUUACUGAUUUAUAGAAAAGAGAAUCUUUUCUACAAAUUCAAGGGCUUUUUCCUCGUGAUAAAUUUCUGGGCCGAAGAAACAGAGGUUUCUGGGGGAGAAGAGUUUGUUAAGAUUGACCUGUAACACAUGAACUUCCUCCUCUCUUUUCUUCUUCCCUGUUACUCUUCCUUCCCGUUUCUGUCUUCUGCAGAUUAUGGAAAGCCCGAAGCACACAGAGCCCACCUGGAGAAGUGGAGGGGUGCUCAGACGCUGCCCGCAGGUGCUGAGAGUGAAGUGGGCCCAAGCCCUGGCCUGGUAGGGUGCUCUCCAAGCAUCCUACCAGGAUCUUUUUAACUAGUGAAUUGUUCUCUCAUCGAUUUUUCCCAACUCAGGUUGAUAUUUCUGGAGCCUGUUGUCAUGGUCAGCAAUAUCCCUUGAGUGACCAGGAAGUGGGAGUUUCUGCUCUAGGUCCCUCAGGCAAAGACAGAGAUGAGCCCAGCUAACUUGUUAGGAGGAACAGCAGGGAAGGAAGGAACCAGAGAUAGUUAAUCACACAAGUACGUCCACAAUGGCUGGGCCGGUGUGCUAAGGGUUUGUGGUAGCGACUGGGGCCAGUGGAACUCUAGAGUUUGGAUUCGGUGUGACGAGGUCCACCUGAGGAGAGCAGGUCUAACAGUGGGCUAUGCGGCACCUCCCUGCCGCCUUGCAAAUGACUGCACCCUGUAAGGGCAGGCCAGGGUCACAGACAGGAACCCAAUGAAGCCAGUCAUUUAGUAGGAAGAUAAGCAAAUUAACACAGUCAAAAAGGAAAGAAAAAAAGGCAGGGUUCAACACCCCAGUCCCCUGGAGGCUGAGGGACUCUUGUGGUGUGCUAACAACUACACAGUCUCAGUUGAAGAGGGCAAUUUUACGGUCCACAUGUGAAUAAGGGACAUUUUUACUGAAAGAUGCACAAGGGUUCAUUUCCAGUUCUUAAGAAAGAGCCAGUUUUUUGGCCAAAUCAAGGCUCUGGUCAAAUGUUAACAACUCAGUUAUCCUGGGGAAAAAAUAAGCUGGCCCCCAACCCUCUCCUUUGCUAGCAUUUGGGGGCAAAUAAAGGAUUAGGUAAGAUGCUUUAUUUCCUCUCAUUCUCUAUGUGGGCAAGAGUUCAUGUAUCGGUUAGCAACCAUUUUUAACGGGAAAUCCAAUAAACCAGAAGGGAUUUAUUCACAGGAGGCUUCCUUUUGCUGGAAAAUCAGUAUUAUUAAUGAAAAAUGGAAUAGUUCUUCGGUCUCCAUGUUCCUCUUUUCCUCACCUCGUCUCUUCUCCCACCCACUACCAUGGAGGGAAAUGACUGCUGAAUAGGAUUUAAAAUCUGAGCACCAUCGGAUGCCCUUGUAUCCAAUAGAUGUUACUGUGAGUAGAUUACAGCACAGCUAAAUGCUACAUCCCCUUGCAAAACAAUUUUAAUUUUCUUAGACUGCAGAAUUUACCGCAUCUGCUCAUGAUGGAUUGGGAUAUAUGGUGAGGGAAGCAAUGGGGAGGAGCCAUUAAUCCAGUCAUUUUAUUAUGACAUAUAAUGUGGUUUUCCACUAAGUCUUUGUUUCCUAGAAUCAGUUCCCUCUAGGGAUUCUUUCCCAUUUAGCCCUUUUAGAAAAUCGAUGCAAACAGAUUUCCCAUCCAUUUCCAUAGGAAGUGUUUGUUUCUGUUGGUGGGAGGCCUCCGUGGGGUGGCAAUGGGUCCCUUUAUUAGCUCGACUGUUCCAGAACACAGAAGCCUGACAUCUUUAUAUUUCCUUUGCUCAAGAUGCUCCCCACCAUUGAUCCCUCUUUUCUCUGCUCAGGUCACUCUGUGGAGCUGGUGAGGUUCCCGGAUGAUGAUCAGUGGCUGUGGUGGAAAGUGGAGGUGAAGUUAACACCUUCACGGCUACAGAUUUUCCUUAGCAGAGCUGUGGAGUGUGACAAUGGUGUUUGUGUCCAAACUAUCAAACGCCAUUAUCACACUAAAUAGCUACUGUUAGGCAAUCCUUCCACUCAGUGAAGGCCUUGGCAUCUGUUAGGUUUGGGCAAGAAGGCUCAUCUUGUAGCAGUGCUCUCAAUCAUGUGUAAUUACUGAAUAAAUUCCGGUCCUUUUGUGCUCAUAACCAAUAUGUCAUCUGAACUUUGCCUCUCACAUGCCAUUGUUAAAUACUUUAGCCGAUGAUGAAUUGUCUUGUUUUCCUGAGUCAAUAGAAAGAUUGCCGUGUUCCCCAGAGCACCCAGCAGAAGGCUAGGCACAUAGGAAUUGUUCAACCCAUGCUUAUUGAGUUGAAAUGAAUAGUUAGGAAAAUGUUAGAUGCCAAAAACUAAAACUGGAUUAAAGCUAGGUUGUGAAAACCACAGGCUUAUGGAUGCAAAAUUAAGGUUUGUCGGUCCUUCACGUUGCAUCAUAAAAAACAACUUUCUGAUAACUUACACAUGUCUCUUAACUGACCUUUCAGAAAUUCUAGAACAUGUGUGAUUUCUACUGAUUUUAAUCAAUUGCCAGGCUGAUUACUGAAUUUGUGUGCUGGAUUCUUAUUCCUUAUGUUUCGAUGAAUCACCAUCAGGAAAUUAUACACGAACUAUGUGUGCGUUGCCAUGGCAAACCUGAACAUUUUAAACCCAUGCAGCUUCUGGGACAAUUGGACCAGCUGGGUGGUCUGGUUUGAAACACAUCCUUUCUCUGACAGGCAUGUAAAGUAAGGAGUAGAUUCUGUUUGUGCUGGGCUAAAGCUGUUCUCCUCUGACUUGGCGAAGUGAACUGGUACAUGUGUAAUCAAAUUGAAGGGUUGGAGCAACCAUCAGAAACAGGUUCAUUCAAUCAUCCAUUUGCCAAAUAAAUAUGUGUAUUCAGUGGCUGCCAUGUGUCUGGUACUGCCCUGGGCACUCGGGAUACUCGUAAAUUAAAUGUGUCUGACAUAAUUUCCAGACAUGGGCGUUCACUGGCUCGCAUUCUGUUUGGGACCAUUCUAAAUGUUCUAAAUUAUGUUUACCAGGGAACCAAAUGAGCAAAACUUUGCAAAAUAAUUCCAAGCCCCUUGCUGGAAAGCACCAGGUGAGUGUAGUCCACACAUCUAUGAUACACUGCAAAGGUUCCGAGGUCCUGAGAAGCUUCCAUCCAAAGAAGAGGAAGUCCAUUCCUUCCUGCCCUUCCUCUCCUUCCACCUCCCAUUCCUUCCCUCCUGGCAUCAUCCACUCUCAAGAGGAGAACCAGACCCCCUAAAAUAAUUAAUGCACUGACAUUCCUUUUUUUUUUGCUUUUCUGGAGAAAGCACUGAUUGAACAAGCAUUGGUAGAGGGCUCUACUGUUACACAAAUCUCUCCUGUGCACGUUAUUUCCUUUGAUCUGUGCAAGAAAGGGCAAAGAUGACAGAUUUGGGCGCUUUCCACAGACAGCAAACUGAGACCGAGAGUGGUUCUGGAAUCGGCUGGUCAUGCAACCACUACUCAACUUGGGUCUCCUAAAUCUAAAGUUCUCUCUUUUACUUAUAGCCUUCCUUGGCCUAGUGUUUCCACAAAACCUCAUGCUUCACAGCUGAGGCUAUGUAGAAGUUGGGUUUCUGAGGGAAAGUCUGCAGGAUAAGAGAGAGAUAAGCCAUAUGACCAUCUUUCCUUGUGAGUGUUCCACAAUGCAGAGAAAGACAAAUACUGUGAAACACCAUCAUCAUGAAGUGAAGGGAAGGGAAGGAACAGCAAAGUGGUAGUUUUGGGGUCAGGAAGGGGGUGGCCAAACUGUCCAGACAUGGACCAGCCAACUUAGCGCCCCAGCCAACUGACGUGGCCCUCACUGACCCAGAGCCUGCAGGCUCCCAACCCUUCUCAGGCUCACGGACAAUGUGAGCACAGCCUCAGGCACAAUUCCUCCUCUCUCCCACCACCCUGAGACUUUCCUCAGAUGGAAUGAAACAGGCAGCAAAAGGAAGGGCAUUCUACAUCUUUUCUACUAGGUUGGCUCCCGUAGCGGCUUAUUAUGAUUCCUGUCUGGGUUAGUUCUGCAUCCAGGCUUGGGGACCUGUUUUUUCCAUAGAUCUCUAAGGAGCACACGUGGAAGGCAAGGCUUCCACUCCCCCAUCUUAAAGCCAUAUCUGACCCUGUCCUGCUGCUCCAACUCUCUGAUCACAGCAUCCUUCCCCAGCCUAGCUUUCAUCCCCUCCCUGGCCCAUCCCACUGGGAUGAUCACUGCCAGUCUUCCCCAAUAGAGCACUAUUCCUGGGGAUGCUUACUGCCUCCAAACGUAGUUUGCCAGCUGGAGGGGCCACUUGGAAGUGCAGUUAAAAUCGCACUGGAGCGGGGGAGGCGGCAGAGCCCCCGGGCAGCCACACUGAGAUGUUUUCUUCCCCUGGAGACAGGCGUUACUUUGCUUCGUGAAUCAUGCCGGUGAGGUCCUGUGACUCCUUCGUCUUAGUACAAUGUGCAUGUCGAACGUGACAAUAGCCAGUAGGGCCUGUCCCAUGUUCCAGCCAACCCCAGAGGAGGUUUUGUGAAACAGCACAGCAGUAUCACAUGUAGAAGGCUCAUCUACACAGUUUUAUGAACUCUUCUUAAAUCUAUGUUUUCCACUUGGUAUACUUCCAUGAAUCCAAAGAUAAUGUUAGAACUGGAACCCAGUUUACUGUUUGUACUGAAGAGGAAAUUGAAGCCCGGAUAGGUUAAGGAACAUGCCCGAGGUCGUUCAGCUAGUCUCUGGGUGAGCUGGACCCUGAAGCCAGGUUUCCAGGCUUUGCCACUUCAUCCCAGUGGUGUCCCGUAGCUGUUGCCUUCCUAGAGCAGGCAGGAGAGGACUCAGGCAGUACCCCCUGAAUGAGUGCCUGGAUGCCAGUAAAGUCCUCUUCCCUUUGAUUUGUCUGAGCACUGUCUUCUCUGGAUUUCAAAGGGAUCCUCCCUAGUUUGGCGUUCUGGAAUUUGGUGCAUGGGUCCAGGUUCAUGCUCCCUCUUCACUGCGUUGUCUGCCAUUCACUGCACAGACGUGGGUUGUGUGAUUACUAUAUGCCUGGUACCAUGCUGGGCUCUGGGGACACAGAGAAGAAGGAGCCCACGUCCCUUCCCAGAGCUGCUCUCCGUCUAGGAGUUAGUCUCCUAAACAGAGACAUUCAGGCCUCAAGGAGCUAAACGCCAUAGACACCAUAGCUAGACAGAGCCGUAGACAGGGUGCCCAAAGACUUUAAUUAUGCCUUUCGUUUCUUUUCAGAUGAAGAAAGACUGAGUCUUUGAUGUUAUAACAUUUUUGUUACUAUUGGGAAAAUAAUCACUCUUUUUCUGUUAAUGAUUCAGUCACCUACAGGCUGUAGAUAAAGAGCACGGUGUUGUACUUGGGGGCAAAGCUGUAAUACGAAGAGCUGGCUGCUUUUCCCUGGCCGUGUGCCAGCGUGAUGUGCCGCACCGGGUCUGUUGAGGCCCUUGGGAAGGUAGAGGAGAUGGUUAGAACACUUUUCAGUUAUAUAUGUGAAGAAUUUUUAUUUCUCAGAGGAGCAGGGUAAGACACGAGCUGGUUGUCUUUCACAGUGCCCGCUGGGUUAGUGCUCACAAUGCCAGGUCAUUAGGCCGUUUCCUCCAUUGCUGCCUCUUCCUCUAUCCUCAAAAGCCUACUCCAAGGCCAGCAGUUGCAUACUGACUCCUCCUCAUUUCCCGCUCCCUGGGAUACGCUCAGGAAGCCACUGGGUAUAAACCUAUGGCAGGAAUCCCCAGGGCCUGUGGAGGAGUAGAGAGAUUGGGCAUCCCCUUCUUCUCUUUGACAUCUGAGUUCACUUCCAAGCUUUCCGAAGGAAAGGGAGGCGUCCCAAAACGCACACAAGUUCACAAAAAUGUAGAUGGCUACUGAGGAUUCCAAAGGGCCUGCUCAUAAGUAGCCAAAUUUAGAAAGCAGGGUCACCAUAUGUGUUCUGAAAAAUGAUUUAUGUGACACAAAUUUACUGUGUACUUGGAAUAUCUAAACACUGUGCAUAGGAUGCAAAGAUGAGUAAGAAAAUCACUCCUUCCCUCCUUCAUUCAUUCAACCAUGUGUUCCUACUAUUGUGUCAGACAUUGUGCUGAUCACUGAGAAUUCAAAAAUAAGAUGCUCUCUCUAGACUAUAGUGUUGACAAUCUAAUGAGGACAGAGACAGGCAAAUGAGUGACAGCGGUCCUGAGCUGCGGAUUUUUGCGGUAGGUGUGGGGUGCCUUGGGGGCCUCUAGAAGGAAACACCAUCUGUGGUCUGGGAGAAAGACAUGAGUAAGAACGAGAGACAAGCGUUCCAGUGCAGGAGCACUCCAGUGCUUCCGGCAGCCGCCCAAUCAAAGAGAAAGUCGUGACCUCGGCAAGCGAAGUGUAGAAGUUCUCACCUUGACAAAGGUUGAGUUACCUUCAAGUUUCCAAAGCAUUCUCCAGCAAUUCCCUCCAGACAGCAGUUGAGCUAUGAACCUGGAAUUUAUUUGGUGGGGAUUUUCCCUCUCAAAAAUGCAACCGAACAUCCACAGAAGAAAGAUCAGCUUUUAAUAAAAGAAGCACAUUGUGCUAUUUGGUAAGUGAUGGGGGCAGGUGUAUGUGUGUGACUAUGUGUGUUUGUAGUGCACCUGUGUGCAAAGAAUUUUAAUUUCCCGAAGGAGCUGGAUAAAAUGCCUUUAAAGUCUCAUUCAACUGGGACAUUUUUUUUUUUGAAACCAGGGAAAAGCCAGUGCUGUGAUCUUCAAGGUGGGCUGAAGGAGCAUCUUCCCACUCCCAGUCCUUGGAGCCUGGGGUCACUCUUUACGUGGGAUACUGCCGCCCCGUGGCAGGAUACGUCCCUGCGCAUCGUAGCAUCAGUGGUUCAUAAGGAUUUCCAGUUUGCUGCCUGAGUAUUCCAAACGGAUUGCAUUCAGAGCUUCCCCUGACAGCCGGAUCUGGCUUUAAUUUUGAUAAAGUAAGUUUCAAAGGCUUGAGGGGGAGAAAGAGAGGAGUGGAAGAGACUGUUCUAUUGAGUGUCUGUUGACCCAUUAAAUACACGAGACAAGAGCUAAUCUUGUUCUACCUAGAGAACGAGUCCCUUCCUUUUCACUUUUCUGGCACAUUUAGCCCAGUCAAGAGCUAAUUAAAGUCCUUCCCAUUUCUUAAGGCUGCCUGUCUUCUGUGCAGUGCAUCCUGUCGUGCUUAUCUGCUUGGCUUCCAACUGCAGCUGGAUACAAAGAGGUCAUAGAUUACCUCCCACUCUUUGGAUGUGUCAGCUACUGUAUCUACAGGCCUUCUCACUGAGCGCUAACAACUGUGCCCAAGAUGUUUCUCGCUAUCUCAGAUCAGAUCCUUUGCUCAGCAAUGAGAGUGAGUGCUAUGCUGGGUUGGGUAAAACAUGGAGAGGCCACUAUAAAUGUCCCAAAGGAAGUGGCUACAAAUCACCACCCCAAUAUGUAGGUGGCGUGUUAGGAAAUUUUGACUGCAAGAAGCAAUUUUUUCUUAAAUUAUCUCAAGUCAUUCAUUCUUACAACAAUAUUUCUUAAGCACCUACUACGUACAAGUCACUGAGCUGGGGAAAGUUUUUUUGAAGGGGCCACAUGGCAGUAAGGGGUCAGGAGUCACAUGGGAGCUCCCAAACAGUCCUAAGGGGGGGCCUCGUGGAAAGUGGCAGUCAGGAUUCAUGAGUGAUCCCGAGAUGGGGGUAUCCGGCCACCCCCAAGGCUGUAGAAAAAAAUCAAGCCUCUGCCAUUAUGGUGAUUCAUUUGAUCCAUUUUUCUGCUCUUCCUGCUGCCAUACCUGCCUCCAUCCUUACCUACAGUUUCUGCUCACCCAUAACUACUGCUCACUCACAUCUUCUGCCCAUUCUGGGGUCUCAUGGCCCCUGCUACUUAAUGGCCUCUGCUUGCCUGCCUCCUUUGGGUGUCUUUUCAGUUUCUUCAUGUGCUACCAAGUGACUUCCUCCUUCCCUGUGUCUCCAGUUGGAUCCCUAAGCUGGAAAACUGAUGGUUUCAGCUAAGAUGUGUGUUCCCGCUGGGGCAAAGAUUUCACACAAGGCCAUGACAUAGGCUGCUGGUCAACCUUUGGGGCAGGAGAAAACGCAGGGGUAUGUCUGAGAAAGUCUGAUGCAAGAACUAAUGGGUAAAUUUUAUUCUGAGUUGGAGUUAUCCAUUCUCCAGAUGAAAAGGUAGGGGAAGAAUUCUCAAGAAAAGGGUUGGCAUGUGUAAAGUCUUCAAGUGGGAUGGAGUUUGGAACAGCCCGAGAGCUUGAAGCUGACUGGUGUGUCAGGAACGUGACAAGCAAGCAGGAGAUGAGGCUAGAGAGGUGGGCAGGGCUGGCACUAGGAUAGAGGGGGAACACAUGAGGACGGCAGGCAGAUGGCCAGUGCUGCUUAGGGAUCACACACUCUACUGACGGGUCACCAAGACCAGGAGUGGACAAUCUACAGCCCGUGGGCCAAACCUAGCCCACCGCCUGUUUUUGUACAAACCAAGCACCAUUUUUAUAUGUUUAAAUUUUUGAAAAAAAUCAAUAGAAGAAUACUAUUUCAUGAUGUCAAAUUUAUAUGCAAUUCAAAUUUCACUGUCCAUAAAUAAAAAGUUUUAUUGGAAUUUACCAACCGUCCCAAUUUGCCCAGACUACCUCAGUUUAGCACUGAAAGUCUUAGAGCCUGGAAAAGCCCUCAGUCCCAGGCAAAUGGGGAUGUUGGUCACCUGGCACACAGCCAGGCUCAUCUAUUUCCAUAUUGUCUACAGCUGUGUUCACGCUCCGACGGCAGAGUUGAGUAGUUAUGACAGAGGCCAUAGGGCCUGCAAAGCCUGAAAUAUUUACUAUCUGGCCAUUUAUAGAAAAGUUUGCUGAUUCUUGAUUAAGACCAAAGAAGAGUAAAUAAUUUAUCUGAUAAGUUAUCUAAUAUAACUGAUUGUUGUUGUCACAAGAGUGUUGACCCUGCCUAUUUAUUUUCUCCAUUGGAACCUGAUUCAUUUUUAAAACCUAAAUUAGAUCAUGUCACUCUGCUGCUCAAGAGCCUUCAAUGGCUCCCCAUCCCACUGGGAAUAAAACCUAAGGAUCACUUACAUCCUUCUCAAACAGACUUCAUCUCCUGCUCUUCCAUGCCAUGCCCACUCCCUUGCUGAUUCUCAAACAAGCCAAGUGCCCUCCUGCCUCCGGACCUUUGCACUUGCUGUUCCCUCCCUCUAGACCCUUUCUCCCAGAUAUAUGCAUACCUCGCUCCUUCACAUCAUUCUGUUCCUAUUCAAAGUCGUCUUUUCAGUGAAGCCUUCCCCCUCAUUUAGCAUUCUCCAUCUCCAGACAUCACUUAUCCAUUUGUUGAUUUUCUGUGUCCACACUAGAAGGCCAGACACUUGAGGACAGGGACGUUGCUGUAUCCCCAGCUCACAGAACAGUGCCAAUCACAUGGUGGGUUUGUGACAAUUAUUUAUUGGAUAAAUAAAAGGUUGGUAAAGUCCAAGAAUUUUAUGCACGUGUCCAGGGCCAUGUCCCAACUCAUUGGACCAUAUUACUGCUAAUCAAUAUUUCAUUUUAGCCAACAUCCAUCCUGUUACAAUUAUGUGGCUGCCUGUGUCUGUCGCCCACUGGCUUCUUUUCCUGCCAAACACUUUGUGUUUAAUCAUCUGAACAUCUGCUCCGUAGAAAUCUCAUGCCAGAUGCCGACCUGCGACACUGCUGCUUCUCCUGUCCUGAGAAUGGACGCAUUAAUCCCGAGUCCAGGGGUGGGAUCAGGGUGAUUCUUCAAUCCCCCGACACUGACAAUGACAUGUGAUGCACAUAUGCAGUUUUCUAGGGAGUGGGUGCAGAGCUGUCGUCUGAUCCUCACGAGGGCCCUCGAUCCCCAGAAGGCUGAGGAGCUGAUUGUACCAGCAACAAGCUCUCCAGUCUGAUGAGUUACAGGCCCUCCUGUGGGGUGUCUUCUGCUCUCCAAUGUAUGAUGAUUGAUGCUUGUGUUCUUGGUACUCAGCUGGUGUCAGUGGCAUCCUCCCUCUGCCUUUCUGGAAUGUUCCUCCCUUCUGCUACAUCUGAAAACUUGUUAACAAACCAGCGGGCUCCUGUGUGGCCAUCCAGCCCCCCAGUGUCUGUUCCACACAGCCAUUUUCUUCAAGAGCCGCUGGCCCCAGGUUCCAGCAGGAUGGCUGAAAAUGCUCUUCUUUGUGACCGUGAGGCCUGACCUAUGUCAUCUGUCAAGUGUCUGUGCUGUGGGAUUCGUUUCCUGCCAAGGGUUCCCUGCUCAUUUCCCAGAGGAACUGAGCCGAGGCCGCCCGGCUGCGGGAGCAGAGCCUCAGGGUUCCCGAGGGGCCCUUUGACGCCGAGGGGACAGAGGUCAUGUCCUUUCUAAGUGUAGCUUGCGGGGAGGACCCUCGGUCUCUAUUUUCUCAGUUUUGAGAGGAUUUUCAUUUCCAGGAGGAGAAUCAUUCCAAGAAACUCUUCUGCACAGACAGCUGCUAUCCCCCCCCCGUCUGAGGCCAGGAGGGGGCGCCAGCUCUGCUCAGCGCCUGCCUGGUGCACUCAGGCCUGUCCUGAGAUUGACCAUCUAUCAUUGUUUAUUAAUAUUAUCACCAUCAUCUUAAGAAUUCCCAGCCUUUUUGGCCCUGGGGAAAGCUGAGGUCCAGCCCACGUGGACGGUUGUGGGUUACAGACUCAUGAACACGAGCUAACCGGGCACUGCCGGGCAGAGGGCAGAGUGUCCCCUACCUUCUCAGUGAGGCCGUAGAAGGGCAGGUGCCCUCAGGGUCUCUCGACUCAGCACUACUGACAUUUUGGGCCGCAGAAUUCUUGGUUCUUGGUGACCGUCCUGAGCAGUGUGGGAUGUUCGGCAGCAUCCCUGGCCUCUACCCGCUAGAUGCCAGUAGCAUCCUCCCUGUUGUGACAACCAAAAAUGGCUGCAGACGUUGACAAAUAUCCUCUGGGGGGCAAAGUGGCCCCCAGUUGAGACCCACCACUCUAUGCAGCUGCUUCUUGACUGGGACUUCAGAACGAGAGGUAGAAAUGACAGGAGGCUCAGGGGGGUUGGCGAGACAAAUCUCGCUAAGUCAAAUAACGCCAACUGUUCCAGAAAGCAAAGUGCGUUCGGGGGGUGAAGGAGAGAGAGACAAGGGCAGAGUUUGGCGUAAAGCUGGAGAACACGCGGAGGACUUGACCGAAGCUGGUGGAGGGAGGGGUGGUCUCCAGAGAGCAGGCGUGAGCUUGGGAGGGACGUCUUCAGGUCACGAGGCCACGCGGGGCCCCUGCCUGCACUGGCUUCAGCUGUGACCAACCCCAGGUCAUCCCCAUCUUGAGCAGAGGCCCAACCUGCGUGAAGCCACCCGCCUUCCUUCGUGCAGGAAAGUACUUGCUGAGUACCCCCCAUGUGCUAGGUCCUGAGCACAGAGAGAGAAAACACAGUUCUGUCUUUAGGAGGAUAGAGAUUUAACGAGGUAACCGCACCCAAGCAGGACGAGACAGAACUACCAGAGGCUCUGAAGGGAUAGACUUGGGGGCUCAAAGAAGACUUCCUGGAGGAGGUGACAUCUAAGUGGAAACUUGGAAGACAAGUGGAAGUUUUGCAGACAAAAGAGGAGCGUAGAGUCCUGACAUAAGCUUCUAGGGUGGUACUGCCUAAAAGUCCUUUAAAAGGGAACAAGCGUCUGCUCUGCUUUUAAUAGAGGGUCAAGAGUAGCGCAAACCAAAGAGCUCUCAGGGCCCAAGGGGUGGCAGAGCAGCAAGAGGGCACAAAAGGAAGAGGGCAGAGACAAAAGAAAACACACCUGGUUACAGCUGUCCUGACCUGCAGCAUCAGCAGCGUCCACAUGGCCUGGGAGCUUGCUAGAAAUGCAAGUUCUCUGGCCCAGCCCAGACUCAUGAAAGAAACUCCAGGUGGGGCCGGCAACCUGUGUUUGAACAGGGCCCUCCAGGUGAUGCUGACGAACCUCUGGGCUACAGGCCCGUCCUCUGUGCUGCUCAUUAGUGUUUAAUGAGUGAGCAACGGAGGGAAUCAGUCAACCAAUUACUCCUGCCUUGGAAAAGACAGCAGCAGAGUCUUCCCCACCUAGGCUGCACAUUAGGGUCACCCUGAGAGCUUUAAAAAUCCCGCUGCCCAGGCCAUGCCCCAGGC
This 15467-nucleotide long non-coding RNA is filed under the name Equus caballus (horse). Its description in RNAcentral is "lncRNA (ENSECAG00000030175.3)". The stretch from base 5383 to 5455 matches the Rfam family "mir-122 microRNA precursor family". The record is from RNAcentral. Lineage: Eukaryota; Metazoa; Chordata; Mammalia; Perissodactyla; Equidae.